UUUUAAAAAAUGGAAGCCUCUACAUGAAUUCUGUGGUCUUAUUAUGAAAUAGUUAAUAUAUUUAAUAGCUGAACACAGGAAUGGGACGUUCAUAGAAUAUGUUGACAGGACAAAAAGGUGAAACUGUUGGCAGAAAACCAAAGUCAAUAUCGGAGCCAAGCAAAUACUGCCUGCCUAGAGCCCCAUAGGGAAAGCUCAAAGACUGGCCAUUUUUAAGUGGCGAGAGACACCCUCACCUCCAGAACCACGAAGCAAUUGUGUUUUCAGGAUGAUUUCAUUCAGACAAGCAGCUUACUUCAUUUGCUUGUUUGCUACAGUUUCCUGUGCUUGCCACUGAAACAUUUAUAAAGGAAUUGAUAUGAGAGGAGUCAAUUUCAAUGUAUCUAAGGUGAGCAGUGUUGAAGAAUGCCAAGCAAGGUGCACCGAUAGCGUUCACUGCCCAUUUUUCACAUACACCACGCAAACCUUCUUCAGUGCAGGGCACCCGUGAGUAAAAUUCACAGUGUCUGUUCUCUCUCAUGGUGUUUUUAGGAUUUAAUUGUAUUCUUCAUAACCUUUUUUUUUUCCCAGCUGAAAACCGGACAGGGCUUUUAGAUCUAACCACCCUUCUUAUUUACUCAAUUUUGGCGUCAUUUCUCCUGAAAAGAGUAAUUUCCAUUUGGUCUGCAAAUUUCCAUUUGUGCUUGCAGAAUGAGGGUUCAGCAAAUAAUGCAGAAGAAUGGCUCCCACUGCAUCCUCACCUUAUCCCUCCCUCUGCAGAGGGGGGAUGUCUAUUUGAUGAAUAACACAGAACCCUAACCCAGUCACCACCAAGGUCUUGCUUUGUUUAUUUUCCACUGACCAUGGAUCAUUUUCAACUGGAAAUGGGCUUCUGCAGGUACCUGGAAGUUUAGGAAGCAAAGUAACCUCUGCUUUUCACAUUCAGGAACAACUGCCUACUAAAGUACAGUCCAUGAGGGACACCUACUAGUAUAAAGGUGCUGGCUAACGUGGAAUCUGGAUUCUCACUGAAGCCCUGUGCAGACUCAGAAAUUGGUAAUUGUAUGGCUCCUACUUCACUCUGUGAUUGUAGUAGGCUGAAAAAGAGCCCUCCAAAGACAUCCACAUCCUAAUACCUGGAAUCUGCUACCUUACAGGGCAAAAGAGGCUUUAUUAAAUAUGUGAUUACGUUAAAGACUUUGAGAUGGGAGAUUAUUCUGGAUUAUAUAGAUGGGCCCGAUGUAGUCACAAGCGUCCUUAUAAAAGAAAGAGAUACCAGAAGGGACAGAGUCAGAGAGAGAGAGAGAGAGAGAGAGAUUUGAAGAGGUUACACUUCUGGCUUUGAAGAUGGAGGAAGAGUCCAUAAGCCAAGGAAUGCAGGUGGCCUCUAGAAUCUGGAAAAGGUAAGGAGCCCUGUCGGCCUGUUGAUUAAAAAGCCCAGUAAGACCCAUUUCAGACUUCUCGACUGCUGAUCUCCAGAACUGUGAGA
Molecule: non-coding RNA, 1468 nt
Organism: Delphinapterus leucas (beluga whale)
Lineage: Eukaryota; Metazoa; Chordata; Mammalia; Artiodactyla; Monodontidae
Source: RefSeq, a predicted model, not a curated record